This 155-nucleotide ribosomal RNA is filed under the name uncultured bacterium. RNAcentral describes it as "partial 16S ribosomal RNA". The record is from RNAcentral.
GGAUGCCCUCCGUCGUCACCCCUUAGAACCUGUUACCCGCUUUCGGACNAGGUCGUUAAGGCGCACACCCUUCUUCCGGAAGCCCAACAUUUGGUGAAAACCGUCCUUUCUUUAGCAAAAGCUAUUAGGGCGCUUACCUACUGCCAUGGACGUCU